GUGCUCACUUCGGCAGCACAUAUACCAAGAUUGGAAUGAUACAGAGAUUAGCAUGGCCCCUUAGGAAGGAAGACAAACAAAUUCGUGACGUGUUCCAUAUUAAA
Dipodomys spectabilis (banner-tailed kangaroo rat) is the source of this 104-nucleotide small nuclear RNA. NCBI's taxonomy places the organism in Eukaryota, Metazoa, Chordata, Mammalia, Rodentia, Heteromyidae. The record is from RefSeq and is a predicted model, not a curated record.